AGAGUUUGAUCCUGGCUCAGGACGAACGCCGGCGGCGUGCUUAACACAUGCAAGUCGAACGGUGAACCUGCUUCGGUGGGGGAUCAGUGGCGAACGGGUGAGUAACACGUGGGCAACCUGCCCCUGGCUCUGGGAUAACUCCAAGAAAUUGGGGCUAAUACCGGAUAUGACCGCUGACCGCAUGGUCUGGUGGUGGAAAGAUUUAUCGGCUGGGGAUGGGCCCGCGGCCUAUCAGCUUGUUGGUGGGGUAGUGGCCUACCAAGGCGACGACGGGUAGCCGGCCUGAGAGGGUGACCGGCCACACUGGGACUGAGACACGGCCCAGACUCCUACGGGAGGCAGCAGUGGGGAAUAUUGCGCAAUGGGCGAAAGCCUGACGCAGCGACGCCGCGUGGGGGAUGACGGCCUUCGGGUUGUAAACCUCUUUCAGCAGGGACGAAGCGGAAGUGACGGUACCUGCAGAAGAAGCACCGGCCAACUACGUGCCAGCAGCCGCGGUAAUACGUAGGGUGCAAGCGUUGUCCGGAAUUAUUGGGCGUAAAGAGCUCGUAGGCGGUUCGUCGCGUCGGCUGUGAAAUCCCGAGGCUCAACCUCGGGUCUGCAGUCGAUACGGGCGGACUUGAGUUCGGCAGGGGAGACUGGAAUUCCUGGUGUAGCGGUGAAAUGCGCAGAUAUCAGGAGGAACACCGGUGGCGAAGGCGGGUCUCUGGGCCGAUACUGACGCUGAGGAGCGAAAGCGUGGGGAGCAAACAGGAUUAGAUACCCUAGUAGUCC
RNAcentral lists this ribosomal RNA (774 nucleotides) under uncultured bacterium. RNAcentral's name for it is "bacterial SSU rRNA". It matches the Rfam family "Bacterial small subunit ribosomal RNA", at positions 8 to 796 of the family's 1533-position model. The record is from RNAcentral.